RNAcentral lists this long non-coding RNA (388 nucleotides) under Sorghum bicolor (sorghum). Its description in RNAcentral is "long non-coding RNA (SBIC_LNC006283)". Lineage: Eukaryota; Viridiplantae; Streptophyta; Magnoliopsida; Poales; Poaceae. The record is from RNAcentral.
CUCUCACUUGUAUCUUUAGUAUUAGACUAGUAGUAGAGCAAGGCAAGAGCUACCAAGGAGAGCUUGUCUCCUAGGAAGAAAGGAUCCGCUUGGUAUGAAUCAUAAUUGUUGGGUAUUUUAAACGCAAACAGAAAAAUCCGCAAGCGCACGGAUACCGAUGUAGCUUUCACCCAGGAGUAUUCCAGAGUAUCGAUUUUCCACAGGGAACGUGAGUGUACUAAUUAAGAUCCAAGAUCGCCCAAGGAUAACUAUAUAAUUAUUUUUGGUAGGAAGAGAGGAAGUUUCCUGAGAGUUCUCUAGUUGAUCUAAGAAUCAAGAAUUACUUCAAGAUUAUCUAUUUCGGGACAUCAGAGCACUAACCACAAAAAGAGAUGAGAAGGGGGCUAGG